AGCUCACCACAAUGUCAAUAUAUUGUUUGUUUGUUUGUUUUUUGGUCAGUAAUGUCAUUACAUUGUUGACCAUAAAAAAAAAAAAAAAGAAACUUAACAAAAUAUAAUGAUAUACUUUACAACAGUUAAUUUGAAAAUAAAAAUUUUAAUCCGUGUGAACCCCACAAGGUCCCAUUGAAAAAACAAAAUAAAAGGCUGGACUAAUUUGCUUAGAACCAACUGAUAAAAAGUGUACAUUAAAAAGGGAUAAUCCAAAAUCAUAGGUUAGUCACUCUUCCACCAACAGCAAGCAAGCUGUCCGAAAAGUACAUUUUUUGACUGAGAUCGCAUGCUAAUGAAAAGCUAAUUACUAUGAAAAUAGAAAAAUAAUAAUAACAACAAAAGAGUAUGAGCUGGAAAAUUAAUAUUCAUGUCAAAGCCGAAUUGGCAAUCAUAGUCCAAUUGAACAGUUACAUCAAUAUUCUUUUCCUUUUUAAAAUAAGGAAACCACCAUCCCUAUUCUUCAAAUGUGCUCUGAGUAAACUCUGUUCAACUGUAAUAGUCGGUGGUUGGCCACACAAAAAACGUAAAUUACAUUAGUCAAACCUCAUGCGACAAACUCAAUCAAGAAAUACAUGCAGGUGAUAUCGAACCCUAAAAUCUCAGUUGGAGAUUCUUUGCUCAAUCAACUCGGCCACGACCGAAGAUGGCAGUUACAUGAAUAUUCCAUUCACCAAUAAUUAAAGAACUCUUUGUUUUGGAUUUUUUUUUUUUCUUUUGGAGGGGAUAGAGAUAUAGACCAAAAAAAGGAUUUGACUUGUCAUUAUUUUGUCAAGCGUGCAGGUCCUCAGAUUUGUUCAAAUCCCUAUUGCUUCUAUCAUAAGAUCUCAGAAACCAAUCAAAAUUGAAAUGUGAUUUGAUUUGCAUGCAAUAUGCAGAUAUUAGAAAAGUUUCACGUGCUUAUCUCUAAGAUACUAGUAUAGUGUACAAUUAUUCUUAUCACUUAUCAGCCG
Molecule: long non-coding RNA, 992 nt
Filed under: Capsicum annuum
Lineage: Eukaryota; Viridiplantae; Streptophyta; Magnoliopsida; Solanales; Solanaceae
Description: long non-coding RNA (CANN_LNC006333)
Source: RNAcentral